CAUCACUACGCUAGAUGCAUAUCAAUAAGCGGAGGAAAAGAAACUAACAAGGAUUCCCCUAGUAACGGCGAGUGAAGCGGGAAGAGCUCAAAUUUGAAAUCUUCAAGGUUUGACCUUGACGAGUUGUAGUUUAAAGAAGUGUUUUCGGUUAGAGGAGUAGUAAAAGUUCUUUGGAAUAGGACAUCAUAGAGGGUGAGAAUCCCGUAUUUGACUAUUCUUUCUAGCUUUGUGAUACACUUUCAAAGAGUCGGAUUGUUUGGGAAUGCAGUCCAAAAUGGGUGGUAAAUUUCAUCUAAAGCUAAAUAUUGGCGAGAGACCGAUAGCGAACAAGUACCGUGAGGGAAAGAUGAAAAGAACUUUGAAAAGAGAGUGUAAACAGUACGUGAAAUUGUCAAAAGGGAAGCGUUUGACACCAGUGUUGUUUUUCCGAAAAUCAAUUAAAAAUUGAUUCAUGCUAGGUUGUAUUGACCUCAUCAGCUUGCAAUUUAGUUUUGGGUCUCUUUUUGAUGCACUUUUCGGUUAACAAGUCAACAUCAAUUUCCUUUGCUGUAAAAAGGUAAGAGGAAGGUGGCUACAACUUCGGUUGAAGUGUUUAUAGCCUUUUAUCUCUGCAGUCGGGGAGAUUGAGGUCUGCAGCGUAGAUCCUUCGGGGCUAGAUACAUUUAUGCUAAGUUAUAGCUUUUCAUAGACAACUUGUUGACUAUGUUUAGUCAUGUAGCUUACUCGUAAGUGCUAUUUUACCUACGCUUAGGAUGUUGAUAUGCAUGACUGAUAU
Molecule: ribosomal RNA, 775 nt
Filed under: uncultured Neocallimastigales
Lineage: Eukaryota; Fungi; Neocallimastigomycota; Neocallimastigomycetes; Neocallimastigales
Description: partial large subunit ribosomal RNA
Rfam family: Eukaryotic large subunit ribosomal RNA
Source: RNAcentral